Molecule: ribosomal RNA, 2904 nt
Filed under: Escherichia coli
Lineage: Bacteria; Pseudomonadati; Pseudomonadota; Gammaproteobacteria; Enterobacterales; Enterobacteriaceae
Description: 23S ribosomal RNA
Rfam family: Bacterial large subunit ribosomal RNA
Source: RNAcentral
GGUUAAGCGACUAAGCGUACACGGUGGAUGCCCCGGCAGUCAGAGGCGAUGAAGGACGUGCUAAUCUGCGAUAAGCGUCGGUAAGGUGAUAUGAACCGUUAUAACCGGCGAUUUCCGAAUGGGGAAACCCAGUGUGUUUCGACACACUAUCAUUAACUGAAUCCAUAGGUUAAUGAGGCGAACCGGGGAACUGAAACAUCUAAGUACCCCGAGGAAAAGAAAUCAACCGAGAUUCCCCCAGUAGCGGCGAGCGAACGGGGAGGAGCCCAGAGCCUGAAUCAGUGUGUGUGUUAGUGGAAGCGUCUGGAAAGGCGCGCGAUACAGGGUGACAGCCCCGUACACAAAAAUGCACAUACUGUGAGCUCGAUGAGUAGGGCGGGACACGUGGUAUCCUGUCUGAAUAUGGGGGGACCAUCCUCCAAGGCUAAAUACUCCUGACUGACCGAUAGUGAACCAGUACCGUGAGGGAAAGGCGAAAAGAACCCCGGCGAGGGGAGUGAAAAAGAACCUGAAACCGUGUACGUACAAGCAGUGGGAGCCUCUUUAUGGGGUGACUGCGUACCUUUUGUAUAAUGGGUCAGCGACUUAUAUUCUGUAGCAAGGUUAACCGAAUAGGGAGCCGAAGGGAAACCGAGUCUUAACUGGGCGUUAAGUUGCAGGGUAUAGACCCGAAACCCGGUGAUCUCAGCCAUGGGCAGGUUGAAGGUUGGGUAACACUAACUGGAGGACCGAACCGACUAAUGUUGAAAAAUUAGCGGAUGACUUGUGGCUGGGGGUGAAAGGCCAAUCAAACCGGGAGAUAGCUGGUUCUCCCCGAAAGCUAUUUAGGUAGCGCCUCGUGAAUUCAUCUCCGGGGUAGAGCACUGUUUCGGCAAGGGGGUCAUCCCGACUUACCAACCCGAUGCAAACUGCGAAUACCGGAGAAUGUUAUCACGGGAGACACACGGCGGGUGCUAACGUCCGUCGUGAAGAGGGAAACAACCCAGACCGCCAGCUAAGGUCCCAAAGUCAUGGUUAAGUGGGAAACGAUGUGGGAAGGCCCAGACAGCCAGGAUGUUGGCUUAGAAGCAGCCAUCAUUUAAAGAAAGCGUAAUAGCUCACUGGUCGAGUCGGCCUGCGCGGAAGAUGUAACGGGGCUAAACCAUGCACCGAAGCUGCGGCAGCGACGCUUAUGCGUUGUUGGGUAGGGGAGCGUUCUGUAAGCCUGCGAAGGUGUGCUGUGAGGCAUGCUGGAGGUAUCAGAAGUGCGAAUGCUGACAUAAGUAACGAUAAAGCGGGUGAAAAGCCCGCUCGCCGGAAGACCAAGGGUUCCUGUCCAACGUUAAUCGGGGCAGGGUGAGUCGACCCCUAAGGCGAGGCCGAAAGGCGUAGUCGAUGGGAAACAGGUUAAUAUUCCUGUACUUGGUGUUACUGCGAAGGGGGGACGGAGAAGGCUAUGUUGGCCGGGCGACGGUUGUCCCGGUUUAAGCGUGUAGGCUGGUUUUCCAGGCAAAUCCGGAAAAUCAAGGCUGAGGCGUGAUGACGAGGCACUACGGUGCUGAAGCAACAAAUGCCCUGCUUCCAGGAAAAGCCUCUAAGCAUCAGGUAACAUCAAAUCGUACCCCAAACCGACACAGGUGGUCAGGUAGAGAAUACCAAGGCGCUUGAGAGAACUCGGGUGAAGGAACUAGGCAAAAUGGUGCCGUAACUUCGGGAGAAGGCACGCUGAUAUGUAGGUGAAGCGACUUGCUCGUGGAGCUGAAAUCAGUCGAAGAUACCAGCUGGCUGCAACUGUUUAUUAAAAACACAGCACUGUGCAAACACGAAAGUGGACGUAUACGGUGUGACGCCUGCCCGGUGCCGGAAGGUUAAUUGAUGGGGUUAGCGGUAACGCGAAGCUCUUGAUCGAAGCCCCGGUAAACGGCGACUCGUAACUAUAACGGUCCUAAGGUAGCGAAAUUCCUUGUCGGGUAAGUUCCGACCUGCACGAAUGGCGUAAUGAUGGCCAGGCUGUCUCCACCCGAGACUCAGUGAAAUUGAACUCGCUGUGAAGAUGCAGUGUACCCGCGGCAAGACGGAAAGACCCCGUGAACCUUUACUAUAGCUUGACACUGAACAUUGAGCCUUGAUGUGUAGGAUAGGUGGGAGGCUUUGAAGUGUGGACGCCAGUCUGCAUGGAGCCGACCUUGAAAUACCACCCUUUAAUGUUUGAUGUUCUAACGUUGGCCCCUGAUCGGGGUUGCGGACAGUGUCUGGUGGGUAGUUUGACUGGGGCGGUCUCCUCCUAAAGAGUAACGGAGGAGCACGAAGGUUGGCUAAUCCUGGUCGGACAUCAGGAGGUUAGUGCAAUGGCAUAAGCCAGCUUGACUGCGAGCGUGACGGCGCGAGCAGGUGCGAAAGCAGGUCAUAGUGAUCCGGUGGUUCUGAAUGGAAGGGCCAUCGCUCAACGGAUAAAAGGUACUCCGGGGAUAACAGGCUGAUACCGCCCAAGAGUUCAUAUCGACGGCGGUGUUUGGCACCUCGAUGUCGGCUCAUCACAUCCUGGGGCUGAAGUAGGUCCCAAGGGUAUGGCUGUUCGCCAUUUAAAGUGGUACGCGAGCUGGGUUUAGAACGUCGUGAGACAGUUCGGUCCCUAUCUGCCGUGGGCGCUGGAGAACUGAGGGGGGCUGCUCCUAGUACGAGAGGACCGGAGUGGACGCAUCACUGGUGUUCGGGUUGUCAUGCCAAUGGCACUGCCCGGUAGCUAAAUGCGGAAGAGAUAAGUGCUGAAAGCAUCUAAGCACGAAACUUGCCCCGAGAUGAGUUCUCCCUGAGACUUUAAGUCUCCUGAAGGAACGUUGAAGACGACGACGUUGAUAGGCCGGGUGUGUAAGCGCAGCGAUGCGUUGAGCUAACCGGUACUAAUGAACCGUGAGGCUUAACCUU